Molecule: long non-coding RNA, 312 nt
Filed under: Homo sapiens (human)
Lineage: Eukaryota; Metazoa; Chordata; Mammalia; Primates; Hominidae
Description: HSALNT0009154
Source: RNAcentral
GCCACCGUUGCCUGCAAUGGAAUUGCUCUAGCAGAACGAUAUGGUAGAGGACAAGCCAGAAAAUCUCUCCUGGGUCAACAAUUCGUCAUAAUGAAAAUUGCAGAGGCCCAAAUGAGCAGUUUUGCCAGCUCUUCAUUGUGAAGUGAGAGGAAGAUAUCUUGGAAACGACAGCGAAAAGACACCAGGACCAUGACUACUUUUACUUCCAUUCCACAAUGCCCAUCCUCUCCAAACCUCAAAGUUUACGGGUUGAUGAGGUCAUUUUGCCGAGGUCAUUUUGCCAAGGUCACAGACCUCAGGGCUGUUCUGGGA